UACAAAUAUGAGGUUUUGGAAAAGCCGCAAUCCUGUGGGAACCCUGCCAGACGACGGGGAAGUUUUCGCUUCAAAUUCAAGAAUUUAGAAGAUCCAGCCUCAGCCAGGUGAACUUAGCCAGCAAGCCCAUCCACGACACUUCUGACCCAGACCACAGCAGCCAGCAAAGCGUCCCGGAUCAGGAGUGAUGUUUUUCUGGGCGAGGAUGUGAGCAGAUUGUGGAGCUGUUUUGGACUGUACAAACAGAGCAGACUCAGACAGACACCCAUCUCACCAUGAAGGAAAACUACAGUGAAGGACGUUCCUGGGCUGCUCUGACAGAAGCUAUGCGAUAAUCAGAUUGUUUCCUGUGUGUGUCAUCAGGAGGAAGUAUUACAUCAGAGAGGGAAUGGACAUGUACAGAUGUGGUAUAAA
Cheilinus undulatus (humphead wrasse) is the source of this 414-nucleotide long non-coding RNA. RefSeq lists it as uncharacterized. Lineage: Eukaryota; Metazoa; Chordata; Actinopteri; Labriformes; Labridae. The transcript has 4 exons. The record is from RefSeq and is a predicted model, not a curated record.